This 744-nucleotide ribosomal RNA is filed under the name uncultured bacterium. RNAcentral describes it as "bacterial SSU rRNA". It matches the Rfam family "Bacterial small subunit ribosomal RNA", at positions 8 to 796 of the family's 1533-position model. The record is from RNAcentral.
AGAGUUUGAUCAUGGCUCAGAGCGAACGCUGGCGGCAGGCUUAACACAUGCAAGUCGAGCGGGCGUAGCAAUACGUCAGCGGCAGACGGGUGAGUAACGCGUGGGAACAUACCUUUUGGUUCGGAACAACACAGGGAAACUUGUGCUAAUACCGGAUAAGCCCUUACGGGGAAAGAUUUAUCGCCGAAAGAUUGGCCCGCGUCUGAUUAGCUAGUUGGUAGGGUAAUGGCCUACCAAGGCGACGAUCAGUAGCUGGUCUGAGAGGAUGAUCAGCCACAUUGGGACUGAGACACGGCCCAAACUCCUACGGGAGGCAGCAGUGGGGAAUAUUGGACAAUGGGCGCAAGCCUGAUCCAGCCAUGCCGCGUGAGUGAUGAAGGCCCUAGGGUUGUAAAGCUCUUUUGUGCGGGAAGAUAAUGACGGUACCGCAAGAAUAAGCCCCGGCUAACUUCGUGCCAGCAGCCGCGGUAAUACGAAGGGGGCUAGCGUUGCUCGGAAUCACUGGGCGUAAAGGGUGCGUAGGCGGGUUUUUAAGUCAGGGGUGAAAUCCUGGAGCUCAACUCCAGAACUGCCUUUGAUACUGAAGAUCUUGAGUCCGGGAGAGGUGAGUGGAACUGCGAGUGUAGAGGUGAAAUUCGUAGAUAUUCGCAAGAACACCAGUGGCGAAGGCGGCUCACUGGCCCGGUACUGACGCUGAGGCACGAAAGCGUGGGGAGCAAACAGGAUUAGAUACCCUAGUAGUCC